CGGGGUGCACCAGGCGCGAAAACUUUACAAUGCGGGAAACCGUGAUAAGGGGACACCGAGUGCCAGCAUCAUAUGCUGGCUGUCCAGGUGUGUAAAAUACACCUGUUAGCAAGGGCCGGGCAAGACCGGUGCCAGCCGCCGCGGUAACACCGGCGGCCCGAGUGGUGAUCGUGAUUAUUGGGUCUAAAGGGUCCGUAGCCGGUUUGGUCAGUCCUCCGGGAAAUCUGACGGCUCAACCGUUAGGCUUUCGGGGGAUACUGCCAGGCUUGGAACCGGGAGAGGUAAGAGGUACUACAGGGGUAGGAGUGAAAUCUUGUAAUCCCUGUGAGACCACCUGUGGCGAAGGCGUCUUACCAGAACGGGUUCGACGGUGAGGGACGAAAGCUGGGGGCACGAACCGGAUUAGAUACCCGGGUAGUCCCAGCCGUAAACGAUGCUCGCUAGGUGUCAGGCAUGGCGCGACCGUGUCUGGUGCCGCAGGGAAGCCGUGAAGCGAGCCACCUGGGAAGUACGGCCGCAAGGCUGAAACUUAAAGGAAUUGGCGGGGGAGC
This 551-nucleotide ribosomal RNA is filed under the name uncultured archaeon. Its description in RNAcentral is "bacterial SSU rRNA". It matches the Rfam family "Archaeal small subunit ribosomal RNA", at positions 326 to 877 of the family's 1478-position model. The record is from RNAcentral.